This 460-nucleotide ribosomal RNA is filed under the name uncultured bacterium. RNAcentral's name for it is "partial 16S ribosomal RNA". It matches the Rfam family "Bacterial small subunit ribosomal RNA", at positions 338 to 795 of the family's 1533-position model. The record is from RNAcentral.
CCUACGGGUGGCAGCAGUGAGGAAUAUUGGUCAAUGGACGAGAGUCUGAACCAGCCAAGUAGCGUGAAGGAUGACUGCCCGAUUGGUUGUAAACUUCUUUUAUAUGGGAAUAAAAUGUUCCACGUGUGGGAUUUUGUAUGUACCAUAUGAAUAAGGAUCGGCUAACUCCGUGCCAGCAGCCGCGGUAAUACGGAGGAUCCGAGCUUUAUCCGGAUUUAUUGGGUUUAAAGGGAGCGUAGGUGGAUUGUUAAGUCAGUUGUGAAAGUUUGCGGCUCAACCGUAAAAUUGCAGUUGAAACUGGCAGUCUGGAGUACAGUAGAGGUGGGCGGAAUGCGUGGUGUAGCGGUGAAAUGCUUAGAUAUCACGAAGAACUCCGAUUGCGAAGGCAGCUCACUGGACUGCAACUGACACUGAGGCUCGAAAGUGUGGGUAUCAAACAGGAUUAGAUACCCCAGUAGUC